Molecule: unclassified non-coding RNA, 211 nt
Filed under: uncultured fungus
Lineage: Eukaryota; Fungi
Description: sequence contains ITS1
Source: RNAcentral
GUAUUAAAUUUUGCCUUGCGGCAGAUAAAGCAUCCAUUACAUUGAAUAAGAGUUUAUUUAGCUUCAGAGGCAGACUUUUACUCUGCCUUCAAAAUUUAAGUGCACAUGUGUAAGUGGAUUAAAGAGAGUGAGCACAUGCAGCCAUAUAGACUGCCAGCAUCAACCCUCCAGUAAUUCGAUAAUGAUCCUUCCGCAGGUUCACCUACGGAAA